This 31-nucleotide non-coding RNA is filed under the name Macaca fascicularis (crab-eating macaque). Lineage: Eukaryota; Metazoa; Chordata; Mammalia; Primates; Cercopithecidae. RNAcentral also lists the same sequence under 1 other name. The record is from RNAcentral.
UGGUAUUGUAAUGAAUGGUUCCUUCCUGAGG